Molecule: long non-coding RNA, 560 nt
Filed under: Homo sapiens (human)
Lineage: Eukaryota; Metazoa; Chordata; Mammalia; Primates; Hominidae
Description: non-protein coding lnc-ACACB-2:1
Source: RNAcentral
AUAUAGAAAACACAAAGAAUUCCACUCAAUCACAAAUUUAACUUGCCCAUGAAAAUACUAUCAGUGAUCAUUAUUGUUUUGUUUCUGGGUUUUUUGUUUUUUGAUGGAGUCUCGCUCUGUUGCCCAGGCUGUAGUGCAGUGGUAUGAUUUUGGCUCACUGCAACCUCCGCCUGCUGGGUUUAAGUGAUUCUGCCUCAGCCUCCCGAGUAGCUGGGACUACAGGCGCCCGCCACCACACCCGGCUGAUUUUUUUUUAUUUUUUAGUAGAGACAGGGUUUCACCAUGUUGGCCAGGCUGGUUUUGAACUCCUGACCUCAAGCGAUCUGUCCUCCUCAACCUCCAAAUGCUGGGAUUACAGGUGUGAGCCACCACGCCCGGCCAACUAUUCCAUUUUUGUGGCGAGAUUUUUUUGUUUUUGUUUUUGUUUUUUAAUUCUUCCUUCUUAGGAGCUGUAAGACUAUUCAGAGAGUUCAGAAAGGCACAAAAUGGAAAGUAAAUGGCUUCCACUCUUUCUCUUAAAGGAACUACUAAAUACAGUGUCUUGGGUAUUUUUCUAAAGU